RNAcentral lists this transfer RNA (72 nucleotides) under Ovis aries (sheep). It matches the Rfam family "tRNA". Rfam says of the family: Transfer RNA (tRNA) molecules are approximately 80 nucleotides in length. Their secondary structure includes four short double-helical elements and three loops (D, anti-codon, and T loops). The record is from Rfam by way of RNAcentral. Lineage: Eukaryota; Metazoa; Chordata; Mammalia; Artiodactyla; Bovidae.
UCCCUGGUAUCUCAGAUUGUAAAGAGUCUGCCUGCAAAGCAGGAGACCUGGGUUCCAUCCCUGGGUCGGGAA